ACCUGAAAUGAAUUAGCUUGCGAAAUUGUGAGGUC
This 35-nucleotide small RNA is filed under the name Bombyx mori (domestic silkworm). RNAcentral's name for it is "ovarian small RNA-11370". Lineage: Eukaryota; Metazoa; Arthropoda; Insecta; Lepidoptera; Bombycidae. The record is from RNAcentral.